AGCUUUGUGCAGUGGCAGUGUUGUAGCCAAUGAGAUUUAUUCAAGGCUCAAUUAUUGCUAAUUGAAAACUUUUCCCAAUACCUCCCCAUGAUGACUUGCAAUAUAGUCGGCACUGGCAAUUUUUUGACAGCCUCUAUGGGG
This 141-nucleotide small nuclear RNA is filed under the name Microcebus murinus (gray mouse lemur). Its description in RNAcentral is "U4 spliceosomal RNA (ENSMICG00000047733.1)". It matches the Rfam family "U4 spliceosomal RNA". Rfam says of the family: U4 small nuclear RNA (U4 snRNA) is a component of the major U2-dependent spliceosome. The structure of U4 snRNA from yeast and human has been reported. Lineage: Eukaryota; Metazoa; Chordata; Mammalia; Primates; Cheirogaleidae. The record is from Rfam by way of RNAcentral.